This 433-nucleotide ribosomal RNA is filed under the name uncultured bacterium. RNAcentral describes it as "partial 16S ribosomal RNA". It matches the Rfam family "Bacterial small subunit ribosomal RNA", at positions 29 to 507 of the family's 1533-position model. The record is from RNAcentral.
AACGAACGCUGGCGGCAGGCUUAACACAUGCAAGUCGAGCGCAUCCUUCGGGGUGAGCGGCGGACGGGUGAGUAACGCGUGGGAACGUGCCCUCUUCUACGGAAUAGCCUCGGGAAACUGAGAGUAAUGCCGUAUACGCCCGCAAGGGGAAAGAUUUAUCGGAGGAGGAUCGGCCCGCGUUGGAUUAGGUGGUUGGUGGGGUAACGGCCUACCAAGCCGACGAUCCAUAGCUGGUUUGAGAGGAUGAUCAGCCACACUGGGACUGAGACACGGCCCAGACUCCUACGGGAGGCAGCAGUGGGGAAUCUUGGACAAUGGGGGCAACCCUGAUCCAGCCAUGCCGCGUGAUCGAUGAAGGCCUUAGGGUUGUAAAGAUCUUUCAGCUGGGAAGAUAAUGACGGUACCAGCAGAAGAAGCCCCGGCUAACUCCGUG